GUAAGAAAUCAAAUGUACUGGGGGCCUGCAUGCCGUAACGUGCAGAAAGCCGGGAGUCGGCAGACCGCCGCACGGCGCGGUUAACUCUCCCGCUGCGGGAGCGCCGCGUGGAGCAGCAGAGCGCCGAGCGCCAUCCGCGGGACUGCGGCGCCGCCUGGAGCACACCCGGGGCCGCGCCGCCCCCGCUUCUCUCGGAGCCCGGGGGUGGUGGGUAAGGGACCGAUGGCUGCUCUGCUCAUUUUUACUCCCAUCCACAAGCCCAAGGGACUCCCUCAUUAGAAAGCCACAUGCUGUCCAAGUACAGGAAUGAAAGCUGCCAGUACAGAACUGGGAGGUCAGCAAUUCUGCCAAUGAGCUCAUCAGGGUCAGCGUGGAUUCUUCAUACACCCCAGCAGGUGUGAUGUGAGCUACAACAGUUCGUGCAGGACAAAAACAAGGCUACGCACAUUUAACCUCUUCUAAUAUUGCUAGGCCACCUUUCCUG
Molecule: long non-coding RNA, 484 nt
Organism: Gallus gallus (chicken)
Lineage: Eukaryota; Metazoa; Chordata; Aves; Galliformes; Phasianidae
Source: Ensembl